GCCCACGUAGCUCAGUUGGUAGAGCAGCUGAUUUGUAAUCAGCCGGUCGCAGGUUCAAGUCCUGUUGUGGGCU
Synechococcus sp. is the source of this 73-nucleotide transfer RNA. It matches the Rfam family "tRNA". From Rfam's summary of the family: Transfer RNA (tRNA) molecules are approximately 80 nucleotides in length. Their secondary structure includes four short double-helical elements and three loops (D, anti-codon, and T loops). NCBI's taxonomy places the organism in Bacteria, Bacillati, Cyanobacteriota, Cyanophyceae, Synechococcales, Synechococcaceae. The record is from Rfam.